UGGAAACGGUGGCUAAUACCGGAUAAGCCUUUGGGUAAAAAAUUUAUUGCCCCAAGAGGAGCUCGCGUCUGAUUAGCUAGUUGGUGAGGUAAAAGCUCACCAAGGCAGCGAUCAGUAGCUGGUCUGAGAGGACGAUCAGCCACACUGGGACUGAGACACGGCCCAGACUCCUACGGGAGGCAGCAGUGGGGAAUAUACCGCAAUGGGCGAAAGCCUGACGGAGCAAGACCGCGUGAGGGAGGAAGGCUCUUGGGUUGUAAACCUCUUAUCUCAGGGAAGAAGCUCUGACGGUACCUGAGGAAUCAGCCUCGGCUAACUCCGUGCCAGCAGCCGCGGUAAUACGGAGGAGGCAAGCGUUAUCCGGAAUUAUUGGGCGUAAAGCGUCCGCAGGUGGCGAUUCAAGUCUGCUGUCAAAGCACGGGGCUUAACUCCGUUAAGGCAGUGGAAACUGAAUAGCUAGAGUGCCGUAGGGGUAGAGGGAAUUCCCGGUGUAGCGGUGAAAUGCGUAGAGAUCGGGAAGAACAUCGGUGGCGAAAGCGCUCUACUGGACGGCAACUGACACUCAGGGACCGAAAGCUAUGGGAGCGAAUGGGAUUAGAUACCCCAGUAGUCCUAGCUGUANACGAUGGAUACUAGGUGUAGCUUGUAUCGACCCGAGCUGUGCCGAAGCUAACGCGUUAAGUAUCCCGCCUGGGGAGUACGCACGCAAGUGUGAAACUCAAAGGAAUUGACGGGGGCCCGCACAAGCGGUGGAGUAUGUGGUUUAAUUCGAUGCAACGCGAAGAACCUUACCAGGGCUUGACAUGUCCGGAAUCCCGGUGAAAGCUGGGAGUGCCUUCGGGAGCCGGUACACAGGUGGUGCAUGGCUGUCUGUCAGCUCGUGUCGUGAGAUGUUGGGUUAAGUCCCGCAACGAGCGCAACCCUCGUCUUUAGUUGCCAGCACUAAGUUGGGCACUCUAGAGAGACUGCCGGUGACAAAACCGGAGGAAGGUGGGGAUGACGUCAAGUCAUGCAUGCCCCUUACGCUGCUGGGCGACACACGUACUACAAUGGUCG
Molecule: ribosomal RNA, 1056 nt
Filed under: uncultured organism
Description: bacterial SSU rRNA
Rfam family: Bacterial small subunit ribosomal RNA
Source: RNAcentral